RNAcentral lists this ribosomal RNA (405 nucleotides) under uncultured Sphingobacteriales bacterium. Its description in RNAcentral is "bacterial SSU rRNA". It matches the Rfam family "Bacterial small subunit ribosomal RNA", at positions 980 to 1382 of the family's 1533-position model. Lineage: Bacteria; Pseudomonadati; Bacteroidota; Sphingobacteriia; Sphingobacteriales. The record is from RNAcentral.
CUCGAACGUAAGAUGACUGUAGGUGAAAGCUUACAUCUCUUCGGAGCAUUUUACGAGGUGCUGCAUGGUUGUCGUCAGCUCGUGCCGUGAGGUGUCGGGUUAAGUCCCAUAACGAGCGCAACCCCUACCUUUAGUUGCCAUCAGGUAAUGCUGGGGACUCUAAAGGAACUGCCUACGGCAAGUAGUGAGGAAGGCGGGGAUGACGUCAAAUCAGCACGGCCCUUACGUCCAGGGCUACACACGUGCUACAAUGGCCGAUACAGAGGGCAGCUACCUGGUGACAGGAUGCAAAUCUCCAAAAGUCGGUCUCAGUUCGGAUCGGAGGUCUGCAACCCGACUCCGUGAAGUUGGAUUCGCUAGUAAUCGCGCAUCAGCCAUGGCGCGGUGAAUACGUUCCCGGGCCUU